ACGUAGGGGGCAAGCGUUGUCCGGAUUCACUGGGUGUAAAGGGUGCGUAGGUGGGUUGGUAAGUCAGUGGUGAAAUCUUCGAGCUUAACUCGGAAACUGCCAUUGAUACUAUCAGUCUUGAAUAUUGUGGAGGUUAGCGGAAUAUGUCAUGUAGCGGUGAAAUGCUUAGAUAUGACAUAGAACACCAAUUGCGAAGGCAGCUGGCUACACAUAUAUUGACACUGAGGCACGAAAGCGUGGGGAUCAAACAGGAUUAGAUACCCUGGUAGUCCACGCCCUAAACUAUGGAUACUCGACAUACGCGAUACACUGUGUGUGUCUGAGCGAAAGCAUUAAGUAUCCCACCUGGGAAGUACGAUCGCAAGAUUGAAACUCAA
This 377-nucleotide ribosomal RNA is filed under the name uncultured Terrimonas sp. RNAcentral's name for it is "bacterial SSU rRNA". It matches the Rfam family "Bacterial small subunit ribosomal RNA", at positions 525 to 904 of the family's 1533-position model. The record is from RNAcentral. Lineage: Bacteria; Pseudomonadati; Bacteroidota; Chitinophagia; Chitinophagales; Chitinophagaceae.